Molecule: ribosomal RNA, 418 nt
Filed under: Russula adulterina
Lineage: Eukaryota; Fungi; Basidiomycota; Agaricomycetes; Russulales; Russulaceae
Description: SSU rRNA
Rfam family: Bacterial small subunit ribosomal RNA
Source: RNAcentral
UGAUAUUACCUUAUUAUUAGUGUCGUCCAAAACUGGUGCCAGAAGACUCGGUAAGGCCAGAGACACAAACGUUAAUCGUCUUAAUCAGGCGUAAAGGGUUUGUAGGCGGCUUUAAAAUUUACUUAUAAAUAAAAGGUGAAGAAACAAAGCUAGAAUCAAAUAGAGGAUAUAUGAAAGAAUGCUUAGAGUAGGUCUGAUAUCCUUAGAUACUAAGUAGAAUAUUAAAGGCGAAAGCUUUUUUCCAUUAAUGAUUGACGCUCAGAAACGAAGGUGAGGAUAGGAAAUAGGAUUAGAUACCCAAAAUACCCCUCUCUGUCAACGAUGAAUGGUAGUUAUUAGUAAAAAUUUAUUAAUGGCAAUGUUAACACGAUAACCAUUCCGCCUUGCGAGUACAACUGCAAAGUUGAAAACAAAAAAA